UACGGGAGGCAGCAGUGGGGAAUAUUGCACAAUGGGCGAAAGCCUGAUGCAGCGACGCCGCGUGAGGGAUGAAGGCCUUCGGGUUGUAAACCUCUUUCAGCAGGGACGAAGCGCAAGUGACGGUACCUGCAGAAGAAGCACCGGCUAACUACGUGCCAGCAGCCGCGGUAAUACGUAGGGUGCGAGCGUUGUCCGGAAUUACUGGGCGUAAAGAGUUCGUAGGCGGUUUGUCGCGUCGUUUGUGAAAACCCGGGGCUCAACUUCGGGCUUGCAGGCGAUACGGGCAGACUUGAGUGUUUCAGGGGAGACUGGAAUUCCUGGUGUAGCGGUGAAAUGCGCAGAUAUCAGGAGGAACACCGGUGGCGAAGGCGGGUCUCUGGGAAACAACUGACGCUGAGGAACGAAAGCGUGGGUAGCAAACAGGAUUAGAUACCCUGGUAGUCCACGCCGUAAACGGUGGGCGCUAGGUGUGGGUUCCUUCCACGGAAUCUGUGCCGUAGCUAACGCAU
Molecule: ribosomal RNA, 509 nt
Filed under: uncultured Rhodococcus sp.
Lineage: Bacteria; Bacillati; Actinomycetota; Actinomycetes; Mycobacteriales; Nocardiaceae
Description: bacterial SSU rRNA
Rfam family: Bacterial small subunit ribosomal RNA
Source: RNAcentral